Molecule: long non-coding RNA, 753 nt
Organism: Sardina pilchardus (European sardine)
Lineage: Eukaryota; Metazoa; Chordata; Actinopteri; Clupeiformes; Clupeidae
Exons: 4
Source: RefSeq, a predicted model, not a curated record
CCAACCCGAUCACCAGACACAGUAACUGUAACUGUAGCGGUUCUUGACAUCGGAGAAAAAAAGAUCUAGCCUACAGCAUGGCCCAAAAACUGUUUCUGGUCCUUGUGGUUUUUCUGGUUGUUGGUGCGCUGAUUGGGGAAUCAAUUGCGGAUGAUGGUGUUAUCCUGUCUGAACUGUCCAAUGCCCCUGCAGAAGCACCAGAGGCUGUAGCCCACGAAGGACACCUUCGCGUGAAGCGCGGCGGAAAAUGGAAACGCCGUUUGAGAAGGCUCCGGAAUCAUGCAAAACCAGUGGUGAAAGCGGUCAUUACAAAAAUAGCUACAGAUGGAGCUAUAGCAGCACUCGGAUAAAUGGAGAAAAACUCACCACGGAAACUCGGGAAAGUGACACAUACUGUACACACAGGUCUUGUGCACUUGGUGUAUUAAGACAGUUGGUGUGUUCAUUUUUAAUGGUACCAACUAAACCAAAAGCCAGAAUAGAUCUGCUGUUUGAUAACUUGAACCAUCCACCUACCUCUCAUUAGUUUAACAGUGAAAUAUAUGCAAAUAUUAUACUAUAUCUAAUGGCCGUUCAAUAUAAUUUUAUAAUGAGUCAAUAGAAAUGUUGGGUAAUAAGGAUCAAAAGAGUAAGACUGAGGACUGAAGACUGAGGACUGAAGACUGAAGAGCAUUGUCUGCUCUGUAACUGUGAGUUGAUGUGAAGGGCUGAAAAAAGGAAAGGAAUGUACAACAUUUUAAAUAAAUACAUAUU